Molecule: ribosomal RNA, 1544 nt
Filed under: Klebsiella pneumoniae subsp. pneumoniae MGH 78578
Lineage: Bacteria; Pseudomonadati; Pseudomonadota; Gammaproteobacteria; Enterobacterales; Enterobacteriaceae
Description: bacterial SSU rRNA
Rfam family: Bacterial small subunit ribosomal RNA
Source: RNAcentral
AAUUGAAGAGUUUGAUCAUGGCUCAGAUUGAACGCUGGCGGCAGGCCUAACACAUGCAAGUCGAGCGGUAGCACAGAGAGCUUGCUCUCGGGUGACGAGCGGCGGACGGGUGAGUAAUGUCUGGGAAACUGCCUGAUGGAGGGGGAUAACUACUGGAAACGGUAGCUAAUACCGCAUAAUGUCGCAAGACCAAAGUGGGGGACCUUCGGGCCUCAUGCCAUCAGAUGUGCCCAGAUGGGAUUAGCUAGUAGGUGGGGUAACGGCUCACCUAGGCGACGAUCCCUAGCUGGUCUGAGAGGAUGACCAGCCACACUGGAACUGAGACACGGUCCAGACUCCUACGGGAGGCAGCAGUGGGGAAUAUUGCACAAUGGGCGCAAGCCUGAUGCAGCCAUGCCGCGUGUGUGAAGAAGGCCUUCGGGUUGUAAAGCACUUUCAGCGGGGAGGAAGGCGUUAAGGUUAAUAACCUUGGCGAUUGACGUUACCCGCAGAAGAAGCACCGGCUAACUCCGUGCCAGCAGCCGCGGUAAUACGGAGGGUGCAAGCGUUAAUCGGAAUUACUGGGCGUAAAGCGCACGCAGGCGGUCUGUCAAGUCGGAUGUGAAAUCCCCGGGCUCAACCUGGGAACUGCAUUCGAAACUGGCAGGCUAGAGUCUUGUAGAGGGGGGUAGAAUUCCAGGUGUAGCGGUGAAAUGCGUAGAGAUCUGGAGGAAUACCGGUGGCGAAGGCGGCCCCCUGGACAAAGACUGACGCUCAGGUGCGAAAGCGUGGGGAGCAAACAGGAUUAGAUACCCUGGUAGUCCACGCCGUAAACGAUGUCGAUUUGGAGGUUGUGCCCUUGAGGCGUGGCUUCCGGAGCUAACGCGUUAAAUCGACCGCCUGGGGAGUACGGCCGCAAGGUUAAAACUCAAAUGAAUUGACGGGGGCCCGCACAAGCGGUGGAGCAUGUGGUUUAAUUCGAUGCAACGCGAAGAACCUUACCUGGUCUUGACAUCCACAGAACUUAGCAGAGAUGCUUUGGUGCCUUCGGGAACUGUGAGACAGGUGCUGCAUGGCUGUCGUCAGCUCGUGUUGUGAAAUGUUGGGUUAAGUCCCGCAACGAGCGCAACCCUUAUCCUUUGUUGCCAGCGGUUCGGCCGGGAACUCAAAGGAGACUGCCAGUGAUAAACUGGAGGAAGGUGGGGAUGACGUCAAGUCAUCAUGGCCCUUACGACCAGGGCUACACACGUGCUACAAUGGCAUAUACAAAGAGAAGCGACCUCGCGAGAGCAAGCGGACCUCAUAAAGUAUGUCGUAGUCCGGAUUGGAGUCUGCAACUCGACUCCAUGAAGUCGGAAUCGCUAGUAAUCGUAGAUCAGAAUGCUACGGUGAAUACGUUCCCGGGCCUUGUACACACCGCCCGUCACACCAUGGGAGUGGGUUGCAAAAGAAGUAGGUAGCUUAACCUUCGGGAGGGCGCUUACCACUUUGUGAUUCAUGACUGGGGUGAAGUCGUAACAAGGUAACCGUAGGGGAACCUGCGGUUGGAUCACCUCCUUACCUUA